RNAcentral lists this transfer RNA (71 nucleotides) under Loxodonta africana (African savanna elephant). It matches the Rfam family "tRNA". Rfam says of the family: Transfer RNA (tRNA) molecules are approximately 80 nucleotides in length. Their secondary structure includes four short double-helical elements and three loops (D, anti-codon, and T loops). Lineage: Eukaryota; Metazoa; Chordata; Mammalia; Proboscidea; Elephantidae. The record is from Rfam by way of RNAcentral.
GCUGUGGUGAUUCAACGGUAGAAUUCUCACCUUUCGUGUGGGAGACCCAGGUUCAAUUCCCAGUCAACGCA